RNAcentral lists this ribosomal RNA (170 nucleotides) under uncultured bacterium. RNAcentral's name for it is "partial 16S ribosomal RNA". It matches the Rfam family "Bacterial small subunit ribosomal RNA", at positions 338 to 524 of the family's 1533-position model. The record is from RNAcentral.
CCUACGGGAGGCAGCAGUGAGGAAUUUUCCGCAAUGGACGCAAGUCUGACGGAGCAACGCCGCGUGCAGGAAGACGGCCCUCGGGUUGUAAACUGCUUUUAUCAGGGAAGAGAACGGACGGUACCUUGUGAAUAAGCCCCGGCUAACUACGUGCCAGCAGCCGCGGUAAU